UACGGAGGGUGCAAGCGUUAUCCGGAUUUACUGGGCUUAAAGGGUGCGUAGGCGGGCAGGUAAGUCCGUGGUGAAAUCUCUGAGCUUAACUCAGAAACUGCCAUGGAUACUAUUUGUCUUGAAUAUUGUGGAGGUAAGCGGAAUAUGUCAUGUAGCGGUGAAAUGCUUAGAUAUGACAUAGAACACCAAUUGCGAAGGCAGCUUACUACACAGUUAUUGACGCUGAGGCACGAAAGCGUGGGGAUCAAACAGG
Molecule: ribosomal RNA, 253 nt
Filed under: uncultured bacterium
Lineage: Bacteria
Description: partial 16S ribosomal RNA
Rfam family: Bacterial small subunit ribosomal RNA
Source: RNAcentral